UCAAGAUUAUUCCCUAUCUCUUAGCUUCUUUCUCUACAAUUUAGUUAUAACCCUAUCAGUUUUAUUAAAUUUGACUUUUCUGUUGACUAUUUUAUUCUUGUUUUGAUGAUUAAUUUACAGGCAACAGAUGAUUUAAUGGAUGUAUACAAUAGACUGCAGCAAGAAAAAGAGACUCUCAACUAAAAAGCUAUGAAAACCCUACAUCAACAUCUUACUUAUGAAAAUAUGGAACUAAAAGCAAAAGGACAAAAGGUAAUCCAGAAUUAUAAAUUUCUAAGGAUCCCAACUGGUUUUUAUUUGUGUAUAUUUAAUGAAGUGGAGAAGAUGAAGGGUAAUUUUGUCAUUUCACAUUCACUUAACGGAGAAAACUAACGGACAUCCACUCUAGGACUAUCCGAGUAACAAACUGUCAAUCCACAGGGCGCACCGGUGUAAUUUCCAAAAAUUGGGGACUAUAGGUGUUAUUUUGCAAAACCACAGGGACUAUCCGUGCAUUUUACUCAUCAAAUUAUUUAUAGCUUCUUUGAUAAGGUUUUAAACUUACAUUCUUAGGGCAUGUUUGGCUAAGCUUUUUGAACCAACUUAUUGACUUAUUGGCUUUUUCAAAAAGCCAAUAAGUCAAAAUAUUGUUUGGCUAAUUGAAAAGUCUUUUUCAAAACGACUUUUCAGUAGGGAGAAAAAGUCAUUUUUGAAAAGUCAGAAAUUUGUGACCUUUUAGAGCUUUUCAACACAAUUACAAAUUUACCCCCUACCAAACAACUUUUUUACCCCCUAC
RNAcentral lists this long non-coding RNA (775 nucleotides) under Helianthus annuus (common sunflower). Lineage: Eukaryota; Viridiplantae; Streptophyta; Magnoliopsida; Asterales; Asteraceae. The record is from RNAcentral.